This is a long non-coding RNA of Pezoporus occidentalis (night parrot), 1756 nucleotides long. RefSeq lists it as uncharacterized. The transcript has 2 exons. The record is from RefSeq and is a predicted model, not a curated record. NCBI's taxonomy places the organism in Eukaryota, Metazoa, Chordata, Aves, Psittaciformes, Psittacidae.
GUACGUUGUGUUUUGAUUUCCCGCUCAUGACCUGGAGUAAUUUGGUCUUGUUUACAACUGUUUAUACAGAGAAAGAAAUGCUGACAUACCAAGUGAUAAGAAUAACUGGGCUGACCUUAUUGCUUGAUAUGUGAAAGUGCAUCUUCUGCUGGGGGAGAAAAGAAUCCACUGACCUUGUCCUGUUCUCAGGCAAAGCAAAUGAGGAUGUCUGGAGGCAUAAAACUUUCUGCUUAUUUUCCAGUUGAUCCAGUUUCAUUUACUGAAUGAGAUACAUAAGGAUAAUCUCACAAAAGCACUAGAAACAGAUGAGAGCACAUACAAGGAAAUGUUGUGGUUCUGGUGAAGGUAAUGAGAGUUUUGAGCUUCGCUAGGACCAUUCUUACUGUAAUCAGGUUGUCCUGGUACCCAUCGUUGCCUAGUUGUACCCAUGGUUUUGAAAGCCGUCCUGUUCUUGAUCUGACUACACUGGGUCCAGCAACCUUCCUGCCCACUGUGUGGCUGCUAACAUGGACCUGUGUGUAUUUACAUAGGGAGCACAAGUUAAAAUCCGUACCAUUGGUGCACUGGGAAGCACAGGACACCCCAUCUCAUCAUUCUUGUAACUGGCUUGAAAAUAGUGAUGCUGUUGGUGCAAUUGUGCUGGUGGGUUGGACAUGUGCCUUUGAUUUGGGAUUAAAAGGGCAGCAUUCAAGUUCCAGGUCUAUCUUAGUUCCAUUUUAUUGGAAGUUUUAUCUGCUAGUGCUGCAGUUAAUCAUUGUGCAUGCAUUCCAGGAGCAUUGUGUGCUUUUGGACAGGCUGCCCUAGCAGGGUGUGUGACCCAUCCCAGAAGUUCUGUCUUCCAAGGAGGUGCUUUUCUUCACAGUUUGGGGGUGGUGUGUGAGGGCAAGCCACAGAAACAGACUGUGUUCCUGCUACUCUAUAAUCCAUUGCUAUUCCCUCUUGGGCCUUACUUAUUUAUAACCAAGAGUCAAUUUGUUUCAUAUUUCAUUCAUUUUAUUCAUUGUUCCCAAUCUGUGAACACAUCGUGCUACACAGAAAACUGUUUUUCCAGAAGCUUGCAAUCCCCUGCCUAUGAUCUCUAGAUGUCUCUCUUGCCCUAAUAUAAGAAAAUAAGAAAAAGGUAGGAGUAGCAAAAUACUUGGUAUGUGAUCUUGGAUAGAAAUGUGUGUGUGCAACACCCUGCCGUCUUCAUCUUCCCAGCUAGAUUAGAGCGGGAUUUGCCCCUUCUAUUGUGGGGAAGAAAUGUGGCAUAACCGUUCUUGUUGUCUUCCACUGAUGCAAGUAAAUUGUGCUUUCAGGCUGUAAGCAGGAAGGAACAAGGAUUAUAUCUGGGAGCAGGAGAAAAGCAAGUGACAAGUGAGGUCAAAAGAAAAGCUGCUGCUGAAACCCACCUCUGGGAGACCCAGUCCUACAUUGCACAGCAUGGAGCUGAGAACCACAAGCCCAUUGCUUGCCAGGAGUCAGCCCUGUUCCCAUGCUCAUGUGGGAGAACCCAUCUUGCAAACUGGUGAAGUACGAGCCCAGUGCUGCUAGGUGAUGGUUCCAGAAAUAGAAAGGUACAGUGAUAGCAGAUAACGCUCCCUGAUAGCUGAAAUUAAAAGAAUUAAAUUGUACAAAAGUGUGCUUUAAUUGCUAACUCUCUCCUGUCUGCUUAAAUCACUAGAAAUAAAGGUCUCCUCUUUAGUGAUGAGCAAUUCCAGGCAGAACAGACAUGAUGGGGGAAACAUGUUUGGAAUAAAUACUGAUGUGAAUGACA